CGGCGGACGGGUGAGUAACGCGUGGGUAACCUGCCUCAUACAGGGGGAUAACAGUUAGAAAUGACUGCUAAUACCGCAUAAGACCACAGCACCGCAUGGUGCAGGGGUAAAAACUCCGGUGGUAUGAGAUGGACCCGCGUCUGAUUAGCUAGUUGGUAAGGUAACGGCUUACCAAGGCGACGAUCAGUAGCCGACCUGAGAGGGUGACCCGGCCACAUUGGGACUGAGACACGGCCCAA
Molecule: ribosomal RNA, 239 nt
Filed under: uncultured bacterium
Lineage: Bacteria
Description: partial 16S ribosomal RNA
Rfam family: Bacterial small subunit ribosomal RNA
Source: RNAcentral